UCGUGCCUUCACCCGCGGUAAUACGAAGGUCCCGAGCGUUGUUCGGAAUCACUGGGCGUAAAGGGAGCGUAGGCGGCGUGGUAAGUCAUAUGUGAAAUCCCGGGGCUCAACCCCGGAACUGCAUCCGACACUGCCGUGCUAUAUUGAUGGAGAGGUAAUUGGAAUUCACGGUGUAGCAGUGAAAUGCGUGGAUAUUGUGAGGAACUCUCCUGGCGAAUGCGAGCUACUGGACAUUUAUUGACGCUGAGGCUCGAAGGCCAGGGCAGUUUAGGGAUUAGAUAUCCCUGUAGUCUUGGCAGUCAACGGUGCACGCUUGGUGUGAGGGGAAUCGACUCUCCUUUGUGUCGGAUCUAACGCGUUACGCGUGCCUUCUGGGAGUACCUGCGCAAGGUUAUAAUUAAAACGAAAUGAUUUACCCCGGAACUAACAUUGUAUUUUUGGUUUAAUUC
Molecule: ribosomal RNA, 449 nt
Filed under: uncultured Chloroflexota bacterium
Lineage: Bacteria; Bacillati; Chloroflexota
Description: bacterial SSU rRNA
Rfam family: Bacterial small subunit ribosomal RNA
Source: RNAcentral